This 605-nucleotide long non-coding RNA is filed under the name Trifolium pratense (red clover). RNAcentral describes it as "long non-coding RNA (TPRA_LNC012730)". Lineage: Eukaryota; Viridiplantae; Streptophyta; Magnoliopsida; Fabales; Fabaceae. The record is from RNAcentral.
AAGUGUAAAACAACAAAUAGCAAAAAAAAACAGGUGUCAAUCUUUAAGCUACUCCACAUUGGAUUUUAAGUUUCAUGACAUGACAAAAAAUUAGCUUAAUUUAGGCAAUGUUUUCAAAUUUGAAAAUGGAGGGAAAAAAUGGUGAACAAAUGAUCAAAGGGCCAGAAAAGUGGGCCGAAAAUGCAAGGCCCGGUCCAAAAAGCCCACAUGGAUGGCAAGCAAACAAAAUCUGGUCAUAAGCAAAAGGGUCUUGUCGUUUUCACCAUGUUGUGCAACCUCCUCUCCUCUGUCCUCAAUUCAACUUUAUCAGGAAGCAAUUCAAAUUUCAAAUUCAAAUCACUCUCUCUCUCUCUCUCUCUCCCUCUUCUUUCACGUUCAUUUAACAUUCUUUCUCCUCCGUUUCUCUGCUUCAUCUCCAACCAGGUAACAAUUUCUCUCUUUCUCUCUCUGUUUUCCCUUUGUUACAAAUUUACUUCAACCAUUGUGAUUCUCUCUUUGGAUUGCUCAAGUGUUUUUUUUUCUCUUCUCAAUAGUUUAUCUAACGCCUUUAAAUCACUCCCAGUUUGUUUUCCCUUUCACAGAUUCUAUUCCAUCACAAUCUUCAG